RNA transcript from Anolis carolinensis (green anole), 583 nucleotides. It is a transcript of the gene named transmembrane protein 247-like, with no coding region annotated. The transcript has 3 exons. Lineage: Eukaryota; Metazoa; Chordata; Lepidosauria; Squamata; Anolidae. The record is from RefSeq and is a predicted model, not a curated record.
CAUUUUUAGCUGCAGGAGCAUCCCCAUAGCCACUCAGAGGAUGGUGGAUAUGGAUGUGGUAUCGGAGGAGUGCCUGGCUAGUCCCUAUGCCCCAUGCAUGGGCAAACUUCAGCCCUCCAGGUGUUUUGAACUCCGACUCCCAGAAAUCUCCCAGGACCUUCUCAGUGGUGGCUCCCUGUCUAUGGACCCCCCUCCCCAGUGAAAUCAGAUGGAUAGCUGGGCCACAAAACAGCGCCCCAGCAAAAAGAAGGGCCAUAACACUUUGGAACUCCAAUUGAAGAAGAUGCGUCUCAAAAUAAAACUCAUCAUGAUCAGAUACUACUAUAAAGAUAGGGAGAAGAAAAGGCAACACAAAGAGAAUAUGGAAGAGAUGCGCUUGCUGGCCAAAGCAACACAGCCUUCUGGGAGAGGUGAUCACCUCCUCAUGCUUCAGGAUCAUCUUACCUUGUUCCUCUACUGCUUCAUCUUCAUCCACAUCAUCUAUAUAGUGAAAGCACUGGUGUUCUUUUUCAUUAAGAAGCAUGUUGGCCAUUAAGAAGCAUGUUUGCCUCAUAUAUGCUUAUUAAAGCAUUAUUGAAGUAGA